This 598-nucleotide ribosomal RNA is filed under the name Klebsiella pneumoniae. RNAcentral describes it as "bacterial SSU rRNA". It matches the Rfam family "Bacterial small subunit ribosomal RNA", at positions 855 to 1453 of the family's 1533-position model. Lineage: Bacteria; Pseudomonadati; Pseudomonadota; Gammaproteobacteria; Enterobacterales; Enterobacteriaceae. The record is from RNAcentral.
ACGCGUUAAAUCGACCGCCUGGGGAGUACGGCCGCAAGGUUAAAACUCAAAUGAAUUGACGGGGGCCCGCACAAGCGGUGGAGCAUGUGGUUUAAUUCGAUGCAACGCGAAGAACCUUACCUGGUCUUGACAUCCACAGAACUUUCCAGAGAUGGAUUGGUGCCUUCGGGAACUGUGAGACAGGUGCUGCAUGGCUGUCGUCAGCUCGUGUUGUGAAAUGUUGGGUUAAGUCCCGCAACGAGCGCAACCCUUAUCCUUUGUUGCCAGCGGUCCGGCCGGGAACUCAAAGGAGACUGCCAGUGAUAAACUGGAGGAAGGUGGGGAUGACGUCAAGUCAUCAUGGCCCUUACGACCAGGGCUACACACGUGCUACAAUGGCAUAUACAAAGAGAAGCGACCUCGCGAGAGCAAGCGGACCUCAUAAAGUAUGUCGUAGUCCGGAUUGGAGUCUGCAACUCGACUCCAUGAAGUCGGAAUCGCUAGUAAUCGUAGAUCAGAAUGCUACGGUGAAUACGUUCCCGGGCCUUGUACACACCGCCCGUCACACCAUGGGAGUGGGUUGCAAAAGAANUAGGUAGCUUAACCUUCGGGAGGGCGC